UACAGAGGGUGCAAGCGUUAAUCGGAAUGACUGGGCGUAAAGGGCACGUAGGCGGAUAGAUGUGUCAUAGGUGAAAUCCCCGGGCUUAACCUGGGAACUGCCUGUGAAACUGUGUAUCUAGAAUAUAGGAGAGGGAAGUGGAAUUUCCGGUGUAGCGGUGAAAUGCGUAGAUAUCGGAAAGAACACCAGUGGCGAAGGCGGCUUCCUGGACCUGUUCUGACGCUGAGGAGCGAAAGCGUGGGGAGCGAUCCGG
This 253-nucleotide ribosomal RNA is filed under the name uncultured bacterium. Its description in RNAcentral is "partial 16S ribosomal RNA". It matches the Rfam family "Bacterial small subunit ribosomal RNA", at positions 524 to 776 of the family's 1533-position model. The record is from RNAcentral.